AUAAAGUAAGCUAAGCUAAGCUAGUGGGCUCAUACCCCAAAAAUGAAUUUAAUAUUCCUUUAUU
This 64-nucleotide transfer RNA is filed under the name Ixodes ovatus. RNAcentral's name for it is "tRNA-Met". The record is from RNAcentral. Lineage: Eukaryota; Metazoa; Arthropoda; Arachnida; Ixodida; Ixodidae.